UGUUUCCUUUUGUUCUCUCUAGCCAAUGCCAGAUUCUUGCAUUGUGAGGAAAAAAUAAGCACCCUAUUCAUUUUUUCUGCAAAAUGUUAUAUCUCGUUAAUAUACUUCAGUAUUCUUCUUUGACUGAAAAGUUUGCCUAUUUGGUUUAGAAGCCACUCCAUAAUAGUCUCCUUGUUGAAUUUCUUUAGUCCUUCUAAUUCUUACUAAUACUAAUGCAUGACCAGAAUUACAUGUAAUGAUUAAGGUGUACACUGAGUUUAGGGAUUAUAUGGAAUUAUGAUGACUGGUUUGUUUUGUGCUCCUUUUCCAAAGCCUUCUGAUCAUUCUGUUGGCUUUUUGUCUUCUGAGCUCCCAUACCUGUGAAGAGACCAUUUGUGACUGGCAAAAGAUAACAGUUCAUAAAAUGCUAUUCAGCAACAAGAGAUAAGUAUGAAAGUACAGAGAGAAGAGUAUUCAGAACACAGCAGUGAUCAUGGACACUGAUAGUCUGGAAGUCAUCAAAUGAGUGGGGCCUGAUUGCCAACUUGGAAAGUUUGGCUUUAAGUGUUCACUCACCUACUGAUGUGGAGCCAAGUUUUGGUUCAGUCUCUAACCUUUUGUGGACAUAUGUCUGGAAGGGAUGGUCUGUGCCACUGAGUUCAGCCUUCUCUGCAGGAAACCUCACCACACAGGCAACUGGGGAGACAGCAUUGAAACAUCAACAGCAAGAAUCCUGGCUGGUUUCUGGAGGAAAGUAUGGGAAGAAUGAAAAGGCCAAAAUGUCAUAGGUGACACCACCAGUGAGGUAUUUACACUAUAAAGUAUUACUUGCAGAAGAAAAUGGGAAACAUUACAAUUAGGAGGAGUGGGGUGUUGAGAAGCAUUCCACCUUUGGGUCAGCUCCAGCCUAAUUGAGCUGCAUGACCCUAAGGAUUCAGCUGAAGUUAUAAGGUGAUUCUUUCUUGGUUGUUUGUUACACUGCUAACGCUGUUUACAAGCACAGUUGUUUCCUACAAACUAUGAUCACCUCUCAGUGUGGAAGUAUGUUUUAGUUCUGGAUAGCAUUUUUGUAGCUAAUUAUUCUGUUUUAUUGGUAUUGCACCAUAAAAGUGCUUACCAUUUUGGAUUAUUUUGAAAGCACAUUGUUUCCCAUAGAAAAGCAAGCUAACUUACAAGUGAGCACAAGUAAUUUUACUUUAAUGUAAUCAAUAUCACAGUUUGCCUUUAAUGGAUGAUCAAAAAUUCACAACUAAUAAUUUUCAUACUUUGCAGAUAUUCAGAUAAGGUGCACAAAUCCAUAAAAACAAGCUAGCUUCGGGACUUGUAGUUCUGUGUGUCUUGCCUGCUGUGUAUAAGCAACACCAAACAAAGCCAAACAAGCUGUUGGCCUGUUCCUAUGUUGCAAUCUUGUGGAAUAUUAUAUUCUCUAGAAGUGUCAAUUCCUUUUAGCCCCCAGAGUUGCUCAGAUUUCUACAUCUUUAAGGGUUUUUCCAUUAGGAAAAGUAAUUGAUGAAAUUUGAUAUGAUUCUUGAUUUUAGGAAUAAUGGACAUUAUCACUUGAUUUAUGGAGCACCAAGAAAUUCACAUGAAUUGGAAUAAUUUAUUUGCCUGUAGUUCCCAGACUUUUUGAAGGCAACUGUAGUCUAAAAAUCUUCUUUCCAGCAUUUCUGAUGUCACACAGACAGAAUUAGAGCAGCUUCCGAGUGACUUCCUCAGUUCUGAAAUUAUUUCUAAAUCCUCAGAAAAUCAGCUGAAUGUUUGACCCUCCUAUUGUCUGCACCUACACAGUACCCAGCGUGAGCACAAUAUUUUCUACUGCCCAUUAUAUAAAUCAAAGUUGUAGUUGUUUCAUGUGGUCUCUGAAUGGAAAGUGGUUCUCAUGGCCCCUACUUUGAAGAAAACGGUUGAACUGUCCAAAGCCCAACACAGUCAGCAUGCUCUUCAGAAUGAAUUUUUUCAUAUUGUGAAGCAGAUCCUUUUGGAAUUGUACAGAAUCUCUUAGCUUAGC
Molecule: long non-coding RNA, 1987 nt
Filed under: Taeniopygia guttata (zebra finch)
Lineage: Eukaryota; Metazoa; Chordata; Aves; Passeriformes; Estrildidae
Description: lncRNA (ENSTGUG00000026040.1)
Source: RNAcentral